AUACGUAGGGCGCGAGCGUUGUCCGGAAUUAUUGGGCGUAAAGAGCUCGUAGGCGGUUUGUUGCGUCUGCUGUGAAAACGCGGGGCUUAACUUCGCGCGUGCAGUGGGUACGGGCAGGCUAGAGUGCGGUAGGGGAGAUUGGAAUUCCUGGUGUAGCGGUGGAAUGCGCAGAUAUCAGGAGGAACACCGAUGGCGAAGGCAGGUCUCUGGGCCGUUACUGACGCUGAGGAGCGAAAGCGUGGGGAGCGAACAGGAUUAGAUACCCUGGUAGUCCAUGCUGUAAACGUUGGGCACUAGGUGUGGGGGCCUUUCCGGGUUUCUGCGUCGUAGCUAACGCUUUAAGUGCCCCGCCUGGGGAGUACGGCCGCAAGGCUAA
This 376-nucleotide ribosomal RNA is filed under the name uncultured bacterium. RNAcentral describes it as "bacterial SSU rRNA". It matches the Rfam family "Bacterial small subunit ribosomal RNA", at positions 523 to 897 of the family's 1533-position model. The record is from RNAcentral.